CGGACUUUGUUAUUCUAGCUUAGGAGAAUUGCUUUGCACAAAAGUCAAGAUUGGUGAUGUGCACCUGGUUUCAUAGUUGGGGUCCUGAGUUUUAAUUACCAUGAUUGUUUGCUUAGCAGAAUAUGCCUCUGUGAGCAGAAUCAUAAUAGCUUCAGAUUCUGAAGACUUGAGCAGAUUUCUUUGCCCAGAGACAUUUCACCAGGUUCCUGUGGUUCACUGCUAGAGAGAAAGCAUAUCCUGUGCUGAGACAUAGAAGGCCUCAGAAGAUUGCACCUGGUCUCUCUGGACUCCAUUCAAUGCCCAUUUACAAUUAUUGAGGAACUUGGAGCUCAGAUCCUGGGGAAGCUGAUAUGUUGUAGUGGUGGUUGAUCAUUUAGCCUGGGUCCUGGAAUAAGAAAACACAUGGAGCAAAGCCAAGCACAGUAAGACCCAGUGGCAGCCAACCAAAUCCAGCAAAGACCAGCCAAGCUGAAGCCAACCUUCACAUUUGUGUAAUCAUUCAAGGGGCCUGUGCAAGUAAGGCUGCCUGGCACAUCAAGUUCAUCAGGCUCAAGGUAAGUCUAAGUAUGAUUACAAAUAGGAAGGAUAUAUGCGUAGAGGAGCAGGGUGUGUGGGGAGAAUGAGGUUAUGUAAGAUAAAAUCAAAACAGGGGAAAAUAAGGGCAAUCAUGAAAUGUCUUAAAAAUCUUCUAAGCUCUUUUGGCUUUAUUCAUUGAAAGAGUCUACAAGGAAUUUGGAGGAGUAAUUUUUGUACUUCAGGACUUAUUUUCCUGUAACAGAAAGCACACAGAAAAUGAUUUGCAGAGCUACAUCAUUUUUCGUGGAGUUAGAGUGAAAUAUGCAUUCACAUAGGAAUUGAUUUGACCUCCCUUCUAAUCUAAUGUGUGCUAUAUAUAGUAAGAUGACUUAUGAUAGGGUCAAAGUCUACCUUCAGUGCUUGUAAAAAUAUGUUUUUCAUUUUCAUGCCCUUAAAAAUCUAAAGGUCCUCAGCAAAAAGAAAUUUGGUGGAAUUUUUAUUAUUCCCUUAUUUUCUUUAAAAGUGAUGUUAUUUUAAUGACAUACUAAGGAAAAUAAUGGGACAGGUAAGGGAAUUUCAUGAUAUGCCACUUUGAUAGAGACAAUUGCUUUCAUUAUUACACUUCCAUAUGUAAGAGCAGAUAAACAGACUAAAGAAAAAUGGCAAAUACAUAGGAAUAAUUUUCUCAAUUAGGAAUAAGAGUAGAAUGCAUAUUUGGGGAAAAUGAAAAAUGAAAGCUAACACUAAACAAUCUUUAUUUUGUCUUUUCUCUCUCCUAUUGGAUUCCCCAUUUGCCCUAUAGGAGGCAAAGUUUAUAAGCCCCUAGGAUGACACUCAAAAUGCUUAUGUAGCUUGGAAAUUAUUUUUUCAGGUGACCCCUUAAAGAGAAACUGUAUCAUAGUAGAGUUGGUUUCUCCCAAGUGAGGAUUAGACAUGCGUAUUCUGUGUUCACAUUCUGUAUAAAUCUAAAACUCUUCUAUGCAAGGAGGGUGGAGUGUUUCGACAAGUAUAGUGAGAUAGUUUGUUGUUUUCAGAGUCAGUGUCUGCAUUGCACCAACUUGUUGGAUAGCAAAUAUGCAUCCUAUUUUCCCACUCUACCUCAGCUCCCCUCAGGCACCACGGCUUGCCUUUGUGUUCACAUAGGUCUCCACUCCUCACGUAUGGGUCUUCCUUGGCACCUGACGCUGUUUGUUUUGGUUCUUAGAGUGUUGUCCUCAUACCCCCUAUAUCUGAGUGCUCAGGAGAAUUUGUUAAAAUGCAGAUAUCUGGACCCUGAGUCCAGAAUAAGGUCUAGGAAUCUGUACUUUUCACAAGCUCCUCAGAGGGUUCUUACGAGUCUCAACAUUGGAAGGCUCUGUUCAUGACUAAAAUGCAAAGCUGAAAGAAGACUCAAAUUCUACCUCACUUGUAUUCAGUACUGGUGUACAUCACUUUGAUGAGUUUGCAUGCCUCAUCUUUCUUAUCAGAGAUAGGCUUGUAAAGUGAUCACUCUGAAUUUUCCAACACUAAUACCAUACAUGCUAAGUUAGGCUCUGGAACACUCUCCUACAGCCCUUCCCCAUUUCCCUGUCCAUACCACUCCCUAAUCCAGUAGUUCUCAAGGUGUAGUCAUGGGACCGGCAACGUCAGCAUCACUUGGAACUUAUUAUCAAUGCAAAUUCUUAGACUCCACUGCAGUCUUAUUGAACUGGGAACUCUGGCCACGUGGCACAGCCCUCCAGAUGAUUUUGGUGCAAGGAAAAGUUGGAGAACCACUGAUCUAGACUAUUUCUUCCUUUCCAUCUCAGUGCCUAUUGAUAGGAAAUAAUGGAAUCUAUUAAAUUAACUCACAUCGAGUUUUAAGGAUAUUUGUAUUUCAUAGAAAAUCCUGGUAAAAGAGUAAGUGCUAAACUCACAAAAAUAAAGUACUAACAGAAGAAUUUACGUUAUUAUAGCUCCCGGAAGGAAAGUAUUUUGAUGAGAAGAUUGAUUGAGGAUGCCAUCAAACAAUUAUACACUUUAUACUUAAUCUACACCUGAGAGUGUCCUGUUUCCAGUAUCUAUUUCUGUGCGGAUCCAUCAGAACAUACCUAUCCUGUAUCACCCUUCCUAGCUCUCUUCUCUACAGAGUAAUGACUAAUGGAUGAACCAAUCCCUACCAAUGUGCGAUUAUUUUACUGACUCUAAGUAGCUUGUGAUUUCACAGGGAGCUUCUGGAGAAGACCCCUUAAUCCCACAUAUUGAAAAAAUCUAGGUAACAUGGCAGAUUGAUGAGAUAGAGAGAUUCCAUGAAGUUUGCUUUAUUUCCUCAUGACUCUAUGAGGUUUUUUCUUUCUUCAAAGCAGAGUUUAGAUUUGUAUCUGUAAUAUUUACCUUAAAAAAAGACUUAAAGGAAAUCUGAUUGCUGUAUUACCUUAUUUGAAAGGCAGAUAAGAAGUACUAAAUUUAUGCUGAAAUUUACAAGAAUGCAUAUUUAUGCUCAAUAUAAGGAAACUUUUCUAGGAACUAAAACUGUUCAUCCACGAAACUCAAGCAGCAUACUGUAGGUAUUAAGAACACAUGUUUUGGAAGAACAGGGACUUGAGUUGGUAUCUUGUGACACCUCUUAUUAGUUGUUUGACCUUGAACAAGUUAGGAAAUGCUCUAAACCUCAGUUAUCUAAAAGAAAUGAUGAUAAUGUCUUCUUCACAGGGUUAUUGUGAAGAAGUGGGAUAAUUGUGAAUACCUAGGACAGUACCCAGCACAAAAGGACACUUAGUAAAUGGUAGCUAUCAUUUCCAUGGUUUCAAGCAGAAGCUGAAUCACCACAUUUCAGAGAUGCUAUAGACGGUAGGAUAAAAGAACUGCUAAUGUGUAUUUCAAAUCUAUGAAUCUUAGACCCUAGGAAACCAUAUAUUCUGUAACUCUUUGAUUUUAGUGAAAACCAUGUAUGGGAAAUAAUUAAAUAGGAAAGCAACCUUCCCCAAAGAAACACAGUCAAGUUGUCCUUACGUACUACUUGGUCUCAGGAAGAGAUUGGCCUUCUUUCUCUAGGCUUUUUCAAUAUAGUUUUCAGGGACACGGCUUUCUACUUUUCCUGGGUUAGGUGAUGGAUAAAAGUUCUUAUCAAUCGAUUAUUUCCUGCCAUUAUUCAAGGUAUUUGACGUCGGAGCCUUCUACUUUGUACAUUCCUUGACUGAAUUUGAAAAACAUCCAGAAAGAAUCAACAAUGUUCUAAAAACUUUUAAAGAAGAGAUUUUCUCUGGUGUCCUUGGAAAAAGCAUUUUCAAAUAAAUGAUGAAUGGCUAAAGGUAUUUUCAAAAAGUGGGAAAAACACUUUCCUGUUACCUCAUAAACAAAGGAUAUGUUUUUCAAAUGAAAACAAAUCUGAGACUUUAAUCAAAUUUUAAACUAUUUCAUUCUGUUUUUUUUUUUUAAUAAAUUCCAUAUCUUGCUAUCAGUACUGUGAACUUUUUGGCAAAACUGGUGUUAGAAUAAAAGUAGAAAUGCAACUUCAAAAAGCAAACCCUUAUAUUUGUCACUUGUGAUAACACUUCUUGACUUCAUUCCCAGCCAAACAGAUGCACUAUUAACAGUGUAUUUAUUUUUACUAUUGGCUGCAUUUGCCUUCACACUGGAUAAGGGCCCUUUUGGGACCUAGAAUGCCAAUAGAGUGGAUUCCAGUGGGAGAUUUAUGGAGUCAAUGAUCCUGGGUCCACAACAGCAGCCUAACAAAUGACUCAGGCAGACUCUCGUAGACAUUCAGUCAAUGUCAGCAACUUUGGAGGCAACAAAUUUGUGGGAAUCAAUGAUCUUAACUCAGACUGGGGCAUCUGGGUUGGAAUCUGCACAGCCUUGUUUAUCAUCAACCCACUCUGGCAAGGAAAAUAGAGCUACUGCAUGUUCUGUUUUAUGUAAUUGUGUAUCAAUACUAUAAAGUGUUUAGUACACUUCUAUUUACAUAAAUUCCAAGGGCAGUACUGAGUCAGGGGAAAAGCACUCAACUUAAAACCAGAAACCCCGGGUAGAAAUCUUCUUCUUGCACUUAGUAGCUGUAUGAUUAUAGACAACUUUCUAAGAUUGGUAGUUAUGACUUAUAAUGGGCUUAUUUAUAGCAGUACUGUUCUAAAAGUUUUAUACACAAUAUUUUUAUGAAAUAGGUACUUUGUUCCGAUUUUACAGAAAAGGGAACUAAAAUAGGUUGAAUUUAAGUAAGUUGUUCAAAGUCACACAGCUUGGGGCGGGGCUGUGUUGAGAUUCAAACCAGGACAAUGUGGCUCCAGGGUCCAUAUUCUCAACAAUUACACAUACUGCCUUAGUUUUCACAUUUAUACAAAGAUUACACAAAGAAAAUAAUAACAUCCUUGAUACCAACAGCCUAAGAUUGUUCUUGGUCCCAAACAUAAUGAUGUGAUGAGUGCUAAUAUCAUUAAAUAUUAAACAUAAAAUAACAUUAUGGAACCAUGUAAAAGAUAGAGGAUAACCUACUGCUUAUAAUUAUUAUUUCACUACCAAGUAUUCCUGGUACUGAAACUAAUUGUUUCAACAUCUCUGUAAGAUUUAUAGAAUCAAUCUCAUCUUAUGGAUGAGGAAAAUAAAAUUCAGAGAAGUGAAGUCACAGUCAAAUUCCCCAUAGUUAGGGAGUGGUACAGCUGACAGUCGACUCCAAAACCCAAUUUAUUUUUGAUUCUAUCAUAUUGACCUUAAUAAUCAUAAAUAAUAUUUCUACCUUUCAGAAUUUAACACUUUUAUUUAUUGAAAGUACAUAUGGUUCUGAAAAAAAUAGUAAACUUUUCAAGUAUAUCGAUAUAGAUUAUUAGGGGAAAUGGAAACAUCAUUUUUAUUUCCCUCUGUAAUGACCGAAAUCUCUUCAGGAAUAAUAGAGUAAUUGCCUAUUUUAGAGCAUUAUAAAAUAUAUACCUUAAUUCAACUGAAAGCACAAAUUGAUUUUUUGGCAAUCACUGAAAAGAAUAUGAUGUGUACAUGAAAUGUCCUCUCCAUAAAGCAGGCAAUUGAUUUCUGCAAUUGUAAAUAUCGAUUGGAUAACAAAACACUGUUUAUCAGCUACAUUAAGUCGUCUUGAAAGAGUUUUACAUUGUCGAUGUCUCUUACACAAAGAUUGCUCUCUUAGUCCCUGCAAAUGUGUGGGUAGGUAAAGACUCUAGUAUAGACAGAGAGGAGAAAAAUCCAGACUUGCUGCAGAAUCCAAAUCCAAUUUAGAGACUAAAAACAACUGAAAUCUGGUUCUUAAUGGGGUCAUAGUUUCAAACCAUGUCGAAAGAGUCAGAGGUAAUGAAUAUUUGAUAUGCAUAUAUACUGCACCAAUUAUAUUUUGAUAAGGUCAAUUUGAGUCAUAUGGGUAGUUUAACACAGCCACUUGACUUAAAAGUCCUCAAAUCAAGUCUUAAAUGAGAAGACCAUUUUAAAAGCACAGAAGUACAGGGCAAAGACCCUGAGAAUCCAAUCUAUUUUAUUUUGCCUGAUUAAUUACAACAAACUGGGACUUGGACUGAAUUAGAGAUAAUAGGAUAAGGCCAGUCAGGGUAGACAAAACCAAUAUUUCAGUGGUAUAACUAAUAAAGACAUGGCAGUUGCUGGCAAUUAAGUUCAGGAACAUCAGGGCAGGGUAUAUUAAAGUGGGUUUAAAAUGACGUUAGAACCAAGGCCUAAAAAUAACCCAAGAUUUGCCUCUCCUCUCCAUAAAGUUCCUGAAACAAAAGUACACUCAGAAAAAGCAAAAUUACCAUUUUACUGUGAGUGGAUUUUACGUUGAAUCCUCUGUAACUCUCUAAUGGGCUGGCCAGAGACAAUGAUGAUGACCCCUAAUCUAGCUGAGUCCAAAUGGGCCAAAACUAAAGCAGGCUAAAAGAUCCGUUCAGUUCACAUGCUCCCCAAAUCCCAAACUCAGUUUCAAACUCCCAUUAGAAAUAAGGCCAAAUCAUAUGUACUCACUCAAAGAGCAUGAAGAAAAAAUAAGUUUGCCCUACUGCCAAUGGUGGAGCUGGCCUGGGUUCCCUGCCUUAGACCUUUUUCAAGUGUUUUCUGAAAGGUCUCCCUUAGCUUUGUGUGAGAAAAGAACUUUUAAAGAAAAACACAAAUGAAAAGCCAAGCUCACAGAUACAGAGAAGAGAUUGGUGGUUGCCAGAGGUAUGGGG
Long non-coding RNA from Equus caballus (horse), 6629 nucleotides. NCBI's taxonomy places the organism in Eukaryota, Metazoa, Chordata, Mammalia, Perissodactyla, Equidae. The record is from Ensembl.